ACGCACGCUGGCGGCGUGCUUAACACAUGCAAGUCGAACGGGAUCCGGGCUUUCGGGUUUGGUGAGAGUGGCGAACGGGUGAGUAACACGUGAGUAACCUGCCCCCUUCUUUGGGAUAACGUCGGGAAAUCGGCGCUAAUACUGGAUAUUCUUGCUGCAUCGCAUGGUGUGGUUUGGAAAGGGUUUCUGGUGGGGGAUGGGCUCGCGGCCUAUCAGCUUGUUGGUGGGGUGAUGGCCUACCAAGGCUUUGACGGGUAGCCGGCCUGAGAGGGUGUCCGGCCACACUGGGACUGAGACACGGCCCAGACUCCGACGGGAGGCAGCAGUGGGGAAUAGUGCACAAUGGGCGCAGGCCUGAUGCAGCGACGCCGCGUGAGGGAUGACGGCCUUCGGGUUGUAAACCUCUUUCAGUAUGGAACAAGGAUCCUUCGUUUGGGGGGUUUGAGGGUACGUGCAGAAGAAGCGCCGGCUAACUACGUG
RNAcentral lists this ribosomal RNA (480 nucleotides) under uncultured bacterium. Its description in RNAcentral is "partial 16S ribosomal RNA". It matches the Rfam family "Bacterial small subunit ribosomal RNA", at positions 29 to 507 of the family's 1533-position model. The record is from RNAcentral.